AGAAAACAGCCCACAGCUCUACAGAGAGAAUGAAAGUGCCUGCCAAAGCCUGGGAUUAAACUAGAGACCUUCAGAUCUUCAGUCUAACACUCUCCUAACU
Non-coding RNA from Chelonoidis abingdonii (Abingdon island giant tortoise), 100 nucleotides. Lineage: Eukaryota; Metazoa; Chordata; Testudines; Testudinidae. The record is from RefSeq and is a predicted model, not a curated record.